Molecule: non-coding RNA, 31 nt
Filed under: Mus musculus (house mouse)
Lineage: Eukaryota; Metazoa; Chordata; Mammalia; Rodentia; Muridae
Source: RNAcentral
UGNGAGCCUAAAGACUGGUGCGGCAGACAAC